AUGACCCUAGUGAGGGAGUUCUCAUCGGUUCCAUUGCCUGCAAUGGCCAGCCUGGCCACCUUCUCAAAGUACCUAUCAGGACAGGUGAAGCACCGGAUAACAGCCCGCAGGGUUUUGAGAAACUCAUCCUUGGGGUCAGCCUUGAGAUCCUGUAAAAAGCAGAGAUUGUGA
RNAcentral lists this ribosomal RNA (171 nucleotides) under Triticum aestivum (bread wheat). RNAcentral's name for it is "partial small subunit ribosomal RNA". The record is from RNAcentral. Lineage: Eukaryota; Viridiplantae; Streptophyta; Magnoliopsida; Poales; Poaceae.